CCUACGGGUGGCAGCAGUGGGGAAUAUUGCACAAUGGGGGAAACCCUGAUGCAGCGACGCCGCGUGAGUGAAGAAGUAUUUCGGUUUGUAAAGUUCUAUCGUUAGGGAAGAUAAUGACGGUAUCUCAUUAAUAAGCCCCGGCUAACUACGUGCCAGCAGCCGCGGUAAUACGUAGGGUGCAAGCGUUACUCGGAAUCACUGGGCGUAAAGGGAGCGUAGACGGCAGAACAAGUCAGGGGUGAAAUCCCAGGGCUUAACCAGAGAACUGCGUUUGAAACUGUUGAGCUAGAGUGUAGGAGAGGUAAGUGGAAUUCCUAGUGUAGGGGUGAAAUGCGUAGAGAUUAGGAGGAAUAC
This 354-nucleotide ribosomal RNA is filed under the name uncultured bacterium. RNAcentral's name for it is "partial 16S ribosomal RNA". It matches the Rfam family "Bacterial small subunit ribosomal RNA", at positions 338 to 709 of the family's 1533-position model. The record is from RNAcentral.